RNAcentral lists this microRNA (19 nucleotides) under Homo sapiens (human). RNAcentral describes it as "hsa-miR-1261". The record is from miRBase by way of RNAcentral. Lineage: Eukaryota; Metazoa; Chordata; Mammalia; Primates; Hominidae.
AUGGAUAAGGCUUUGGCUU